UCCGAAUCCGGAAUGCCCUCAUAAAAUUAAAUGAUAAAACCUCUCGGUCUCGGCCAAUUGUUCUGUUCUCCUCAAGCACCGACUGUCAAAGCAUAAACCGCCCCUUUUAUCGCCAUGGAGAACUUAUUGGGUUGUUGGUUUCACCAGCUCCUCUCCUUCUACAUAUCCAUCAACGCCACCAUUCUUCGAAACAUUUUUAACCCCCUCAUCCACUUCAAAUGGCAACCAAUCUUCGUCCCCUUGCUCGAUUCAAUCUUAUCCGUCUAUUUUCGCUAUUGCCAUCUCCAACCCUGCACCCUGGACCUGGAUAUGCAAACCACCCUGCACUUUUGGACCCCUGCUCACCGGAAAAUCAACAAGCCCAAUCUGGUUUUAGUCCACGGCUUCGGGGGCAACUCAAAGUUUCAGUUCCUAUUCCAAAUCGGCACAUUGGCCCGAUCCUUCAACCUCUACAUACCCGACCUCCUGUUCUUCGGGAAAUCCUACACCCGCAGCCCCGACCGGACGGACGCUUUCCAGGCGAAGUGCUUAAGUGAAGGCUUGAGAAGAUUGGGUGUGGACAGGUACUCCAUUUACGGGAUCAGUUACGGGGGCUAUGUGGCUUAUCGGACGGCUGCCAUGUCUUCUGAAGCUGUGGAUAAAGUCGUUAUACUGAGCAGCGGAAUCGGGAUGACGGAAGAUCAAAAGGAGGAGCAUCUCAGGAAUAUAGGAAGGAAUGCUGUGGACAUACUCCUGCCUCGGAAACCGGCGGAUCUACGGUUGUUAGUGACUCUGUCUUUAUGCAACUGCAAUUUUAUCAACUGGGUCCCAGAUUAUUUCCUCCGGGAGUUCAUCACCGUGAUGUGCAACACCAUCAGGAAAGAGAAAAGUGAGCUAGUGGAACACUUGUUAGCAAAGAAAGCAGAUAGCAGUCUUCCAAUUUUAGAUCAGAUUAGGUGUGUGUGUGUUUCCAGAGAAAUUAAGAACAGUGAUAUAUCCGCUAGCUUGUCAAGCAUGCAUUACAUUUUAGGAUGAGAGGCGAUCACAUAUGAUAUGAUCUCUUUCUUCGUGAUUAAGGGAACAUUGCUUAUCUGGGGUGACAAGGACAUGGUUUUCCCUCUUGUUUGCGGACGUGAAUUGCAUAGACAUUUGGGGUCAAAGGCAAAGAUGGAAAUACUUGAGAACGCCGGGCAUGCAGCAAACCUGGAAUCCUCGUACUUGGUGAAUGAAUCCAUCAAAGCAUUUCUAUUGAAUUGCUCCGCAAAACGAGGAGGUUGUACGCUAGUAGAAAGACAGAGAUCCUCGACGAAUGGCUUGCAUUUACUAAAUGCACAUUUCACGGGUGCAUAGUAUUAAAUUUGACAGAAGGAGAAUUGACAGAGAUCACAGAACAAGUGCCUUAUUUAUUGGAGUAGCAUAUAUAUAGUCAGUAGUGAUUGUCGCUGCGAAGUACCCUUUCCCUUUGGCUGGCCAAUUACUCAGGUUCAAUCAAGGAUUUAAACUGUAACACUAGUACUAUUCAGCUCAUCGUUGUGUCACAACCCCCCAAUGAAACUCAUUACUAUUUGCGUUUCUUACAAGACUAUAUAUGUUAAAUGCCGCAUAUCGGGGAGAUUAUAGAUAUUUCUAUUAUAACUG
Coffea arabica (coffee) is the source of this 1617-nucleotide RNA transcript. RefSeq lists it as uncharacterized. Lineage: Eukaryota; Viridiplantae; Streptophyta; Magnoliopsida; Gentianales; Rubiaceae. The record is from RefSeq and is a predicted model, not a curated record.